RNAcentral lists this ribosomal RNA (2896 nucleotides) under Klebsiella michiganensis. RNAcentral's name for it is "23S ribosomal RNA". It matches the Rfam family "Bacterial large subunit ribosomal RNA". The record is from RNAcentral. Lineage: Bacteria; Pseudomonadati; Pseudomonadota; Gammaproteobacteria; Enterobacterales; Enterobacteriaceae.
GGUUAAGCGACUAAGCGUACACGGUGGAUGCCCUGGCAGUCAGAGGCGAUGAAGGACGUGCUAAUCUGCGAAAAGCGUCGGUAAGGUGAUAUGAACCGUUAUAGCCGGCGAUGUCCGAAUGGGGAAACCCAGUGCAAUUCGUUGCACUAUCGUUAACUGAAUACAUAGGUUAACGAGGCGAACCGGGGGAACUGAAACAUCUAAGUACCCCGAGGAAAAGAAAUCAACCGAGAUUCCCCAGUAGCGGCGAGCGAACGGGGAGCAGCCCGGAGUCUGAAUCAGCUUGUGUGUUAGUGGAAGCGUCUGGAAAGUCGCAGGGUACAGGGUGAUACUCCCGUACACUAAAACACACAGGUUGUGAACUCGAAGAGUAGGGCGGGACACGUGGUAUCCUGUCUGAAUAUGGGGGGACCAUCCUCCAAGGCUAAAUACUCCUGACUGACCGAUAGUGAACCAGUACCGUGAGGGAAAGGCGAAAAGAACCCCGGCGAGGGGAGUGAAAAAGAACCUGAAACCGUGUACGUACAAGCAGUAGGAGCCCACUUGUUGGGUGACUGCGUACCUUUUGUAUAAUGGGUCAGCGACUUAUAUUCUGUAGCAAGGUUAACCGUAUAGGGGAGCCGCAGGGAAACCGAGUCUUAACUGGGCGUUAAGUUGCAGGGUAUAGACCCGAAACCGGUGAUCUAGCCAUGGGCAGGUUGAAGGUUGGGUAACACUAACUGGAGGACCGAACCGACUAAUGUUGAAAAAUUAGCGGAUGACUUGUGGCUGGGGGUGAAAGGCCAAUCAAACCGGGAGAUAGCUGGUUCUCCCGAAAGCUAUUUAGGUAGCGCCUCGUGAACUCAUCUUCGGGGUAGAGCACUGUUUCGGCUAGGGGGUCAUCCCGACUUACCAACCCGAUGCAAACUACGAAUACCGAAGAAUGUUAUCACGGGAGACACACGGCGGGUGCUAACGUCCGUCGUGAAGAGGGAAACAACCCAGACCGCCAGCUAAGGUCCCAAAGUCAUGGUUAAGUGGGAAACGAUGUGGGAAGGCCAGACAGCCAGGAUGUUGGCUUAGAAGCAGCCAUCAUUUAAAGAAAGCGUAAUAGCUCACUGGUCGAGUCGGCCUGCGCGGAAGAUGUAACGGGGCUAAACCAUGCACCGAAGCUGCGGCAGCGACACUAUGUGUUGUUGGGUAGGGGAGCGUUCUGUAAGCCGUUGAAGGUGGCCUGUGAGGGUUGCUGGAGGUAUCAGAAGUGCGAAUGCUGACAUAAGUAACGAUAAUGCGGGUGAAAAACCGCACGCCGGAAGACCAAGGGUUCCUGUCCAACGUUAAUCGGGGCAGGGUGAGUCGACCCCUAAGGCGAGGCCGAAAGGCGUAGUCGAUGGGAAACAGGUUAAUAUUCCUGUACUCGGUGUUACUGCGAAGGGGGACGGAGAAGGCUAUGUUGGCCGGGCGACGGUUGUCCCGGUUUAAGCAUGUAGGCGGAUGUUCCAGGUAAAUCCGGAACGUUAUUAACGCUGAGGUGUGAUGACGAGGCACUACGGUGCUGAAGUGACAAAUGCCCUGCUUCCAGGAAAAGCCUCUAAGCAUCAGGUAACAUCAAAUCGUACCCAAACCGACACAGGUGGUCAGGUAGAGAAUACCAAGGCGCUUGAGAGAACUCGGGUGAAGGAACUAGGCAAAAUGGUGCCGUAACUUCGGGAGAAGGCACGCUGAUGGUAGGUGAAGCGACUUGCUCGUGGAGCUGAAAUCAGUCGAAGAUACCAGCUGGCUGCAACUGUUUAUUAAAAACACAGCACUGUGCAAACACGAAAGUGGACGUAUACGGUGUGACGCCUGCCCGGUGCCGGAAGGUUAAUUGAUGGGGUUAUCCGUAAGGAGAAGCUCUUGAUCGAAGCCCCGGUAAACGGCGGCCGUAACUAUAACGGUCCUAAGGUAGCGAAAUUCCUUGUCGGGUAAGUUCCGACCUGCACGAAUGGCGUAAUGAUGGCCAGGCUGUCUCCACCCGAGACUCAGUGAAAUUGAACUCGCUGUGAAGAUGCAGUGUACCCGCGGCAAGACGGAAAGACCCCGUGAACCUUUACUAUAGCUUGACACUGAACACUGGUCCUUGAUGUGUAGGAUAGGUGGGAGGCUUUGAAGUGUGGACGCCAGUCUGCAUGGAGCCAUCCUUGAAAUACCACCCUUUAAUGGCUGGUGUUCUAACGUGGGCCCGUAAUCCGGGUUGCGGACAGUGUCUGGUGGGUAGUUUGACUGGGGCGGUCUCCUCCUAAAGAGUAACGGAGGAGCACGAAGGUCAGCUAAUCCUGGUCGGACAUCAGGAGGUUAGUGCAAUGGCAUAAGCUGGCUUGACUGCGAGCGUGACGGCGCGAGCAGGUGCGAAAGCAGGUCAUAGUGAUCCGGUGGUUCUGAAUGGAAGGGCCAUCGCUCAACGGAUAAAAGGUACUCCGGGGAUAACAGGCUGAUACCGCCCAAGAGUUCAUAUCGACGGCGGUGUUUGGCACCUCGAUGUCGGCUCAUCACAUCCUGGGGCUGAAGUAGGUCCAAGGGUAUGGCUGUUCGCCAUUUAAAGUGGUACGCGAGCUGGGUUUAGAACGUCGUGAGACAGUUCGGUCCCUAUCUGCCGUGGGCGCUGGAGAAUUGAGGGGGGCUGCUCCUAGUACGAGAGGACGGAGUGGACGCAUCACUGGUGUUCGGGUUGUCAUGCCAAUGGCAUUGCCCGGUAGCUAAAUGCGGAAGAGAUAAGUGCUGAAAGCAUCUAAGCACGAAACUUGCCCCGAGAUGAGUUCUCCCUGACCCUUUAAGGGUCCUGAAGGAACGUUGAAGACGACGACGUUGAUAGGCCGGGUGUGUAAGCGCAGCGAUGCGUUGAGCUAACCGGUACUAAUGAACCGUGAGGCUUAACCUU